AACGAACGCUGGCGGCGUGCCUAACACAUGCAAGUCGUGCGAGAAAGUUCCUUCGGGAGCGAGUAAAGCGGCGCACGGGUGAGUAACACGUAGGUAACCUGCCCCCCAGUCUGGAACAACUAGAGGAAACUCUAGCUAAUGCCGGAUGAGACCACGAUCCCUUCGGGGGUUGCGGCCAAAGAUGGCCUCUACUUGUAAGCUAUCGCUGAGGGAUGGGCCUGCGGCCAUUAGCUUGUUGGUGAGGUAACGGCUCACCAAGGCUGUGAUGGCUAGCUGGUCUGAGAGGAUGACCAGCCACACUGGGACCUGAGACACGGCCCAGACUCCGUACGGGAGG
Molecule: ribosomal RNA, 337 nt
Filed under: uncultured bacterium
Lineage: Bacteria
Description: bacterial SSU rRNA
Rfam family: Bacterial small subunit ribosomal RNA
Source: RNAcentral